UCAUGUGUGCUAUUUUUUUAGGCUUCCAAACAGUUACCUCCUUGUUGGAUGUUGCAAUGGUGAAACUACCCAUAGGAACAACAAUGGAAUCACUUUGGCAUUUGCAAUACAAGGUUGCCUCUUCCAGGCAGGAUCCGUGGGAAUCGAUGGUAAUAUUCAGCGAGACUUCUCUGCACCAACUGGAGAAGAAUAGGUUGGACAAAUCGAUUCUGCCAAAAGUCAUGCAAGUCAAGCACUUUGGUCGCAGUGGAAGAACUAAAUGGACUCACCUUGUUAAUGAGGAUACAACAGAUUGGAGUAACCAGUGGACUUCUAAUGAUGUUUU
This is a long non-coding RNA of Brassica napus (rape), 325 nucleotides long. RefSeq lists it as uncharacterized. The transcript is spliced from 3 exons. Lineage: Eukaryota; Viridiplantae; Streptophyta; Magnoliopsida; Brassicales; Brassicaceae. The record is from RefSeq and is a predicted model, not a curated record.